Molecule: ribosomal RNA, 497 nt
Filed under: uncultured bacterium
Lineage: Bacteria
Description: partial 16S ribosomal RNA
Rfam family: Bacterial small subunit ribosomal RNA
Source: RNAcentral
GAUGAACGCUGGCGGCGUGCCUAAUUCAUGCAAGUCGAGCGAACAGAUAAGGAGCUUGCUCCUUUGACGUUAGCGGCGGACGGGUGAGUAACACGUGGGUAACCUACCUAUAAGACUGGAAUAACUCCGGGAAACCGGGGCUAAUGCCGGAUAACAUUUAGAACCGCAUGGUUCUAAAGUGAAAGAUGGUUUUGCUAUCACUUAUAGAUGGACCCGCGCCGUAUUAGCUAGUUGGUAAGGUAACGGCUUACCAAGGCAACGAUACGUAGCCGACCUGAGAGGGUGAUCGGCCACACUGGAACUGAGACACGGUCCAGACUCCUACGGGAGGCAGCAGUAGGGAAUCUUCCGCAAUGGGCGAAAGCCUGACGGAGCAACGCCGCGUGAGUGAUGAAGGUCUUCGGAUCGUAAAACUCUGUUAUUAGGGAAGAACAAAUGUGUAAGUAACUGUGCACGUCUUGACGGUACCUAAUCAGAAAGCCACGGCUAACUACGUG